This 429-nucleotide ribosomal RNA is filed under the name Acidobacteriota bacterium. RNAcentral describes it as "Acidobacteria bacterium partial 16S ribosomal RNA". It matches the Rfam family "Bacterial small subunit ribosomal RNA", at positions 355 to 776 of the family's 1533-position model. Lineage: Bacteria; Pseudomonadati; Acidobacteriota. The record is from RNAcentral.
UGGGGAAUUUUGGACAAUGGGGGAAACCCUGAUCCAGCCAUCCCGCGUGUUCGAUGAAGGCCUUCGGGUUGUAAAGCACUUUUGGCAGGAAAGAAACGUCAUGGGUUAAUACCCCGUGAAACUGACGGUACCUGCAGAAUAAGCACCGGCUAACUACGUGCCAGCAGCCGCGGUAAUACGUAGGGUGCAAGCGUUAAUCGGAAUUACUGGGCGUAAAGCGUGCGCAGGCGGUUCGGAAAGAAAGAUGUGAAAUCCCAGAGCUCAACUUUGGAACUGCAUUUUUAACUACCGGGCUAGAGUGUGUCAGAGGGAGGUGGAAUUCCGCGUGUAGCAGUGAAAUGCGUAGAUAUGCGGAGGAACACCGAUGGCGAAGGCAGCCUCCUGGGAUAACACUGACGCUCAUGCACGAAAGCGUGGGGAGCAAACAGG